Molecule: ribosomal RNA, 460 nt
Filed under: uncultured bacterium
Lineage: Bacteria
Description: partial 16S ribosomal RNA
Rfam family: Bacterial small subunit ribosomal RNA
Source: RNAcentral
CCUACGGGAGGCAGCAGUGAGGAAUUUUGGUCAAUGGGCGCAAGCCUGAACCAGCCAAGUCGCGUGAGGGAUGACGGUCCUAUGGAUUGUAAACCUCUUUUGUCGGGGAGCAAGGCCCGCCACGUGUGGCGGGAAGGAGAAUACCCGAAGAAAAAGCAUCCGCUAACUCCGUGCCAGCAGCCGCGGUAAUACGGAGGAUGCAAGCGUUAUCCGGAUUUAUUGGGUUUAAAGGGUGCGUAGGCGGAAGGUUAAGUCAGCGGUCAAACCGCGGUGCUCACCACCGGACGGCCGUUGAAACUGGUCAUCUAGAGUAAGCGAGAAGUAUGCGGAACGCGUGGUGUAGCGGUGAAAUGCAUAGAUAUCACGCAGAACUCCGAUUGCGAAGGCAGCAUACCGGCGCUCAACUGACGCUGAGGCACGAAAGCGUGGGGAUCGAACAGGAUUAGAUACCCGUGUAGUC